This is a long non-coding RNA of Pseudopipra pipra, 12954 nucleotides long. RefSeq lists it as uncharacterized. The transcript has 3 exons. NCBI's taxonomy places the organism in Eukaryota, Metazoa, Chordata, Aves, Passeriformes, Pipridae. The record is from RefSeq and is a predicted model, not a curated record.
AAUUUUAUGCCCUGUACAACAGGGUAAUAAUUCUACAAGAAGAGUUACAUUCACCAGACACAAGUCCCAGCAGACACUUCUACUUAAAUUAUUCUGAGGUUGCAAUGUGUGUAGUGUGCAGGCAGAAAGAAAAAUCUCAUUCCAGUAUGGGGAAUUUAAAAGACUGUUGCCUCCUCAGCAGUGGUAUCUGUGCUGCAACACGGUCCUCCCUGGCACACUGGACAGAUGUGUAUUAGACAGAAAUUGUUGGUAAAUUACUUAAGAAGACUAAGCUCAUGCAUCACAUAAGGCAUAUAAUGUAUAGCUUGAGUCUCUGGAACUAAGCAGAGUUUAGCAGUGCUGAGAUUUACCUUUUGUUUACCAAGAAAAACCUAUUCUUGAAGGGAAAGAAAUGAGUGCUGGAGCAUCCAAUAAUGGAUGUUUCUGUAGUUACUGUCAAUGAUUAGAAUUAUAUCCCAGGAAUUAUGAUUUGCGGUCAUUUGCUCAGAGCUAAACACAAGUAUAAGAUGUGGCUUGUGUCCCAGUGAGUUUGUAAUCUAAUUCAGAAACACAGGAUGUGGGGAGAUGGCCAAUCUGGAAUGUAUUGAAGGUGAAACAUUUUCUAUAGUUGACUGGAAUCCUUUUCUGUAUGUCAUUAGCAGUUUUCUUUAAAUUCUUCUUCACAAAUAACAAUGCUAUAAAAAAUUAAAUCCCUGCUUACUCCAAGUUCAGACUGAUAUGGGGAGUAAAAGAUAGUUAUUCUUCAUUUAUAAAAAGCUUUUCUCAGCAUUCAGGAAAAAAACAUUCCUCCUGCAGUGAGAUUUAUCUUCCACUGUGCCAUCUCUAGUGGCUGAGUGUUACCUACUGUGGUUCAUAAAGUAUUUCUGAUGGGCUCCUAUGGAUAGAGGCACCAUCAGACCCUUCACAGAACCGUGUCCUGAAUUUCAGUCACAUACAAUAUAUUGUUUUGCAGUCCACCUUCUAAUCAUAUACCUAACAAGACACACUACUACACAGAUCUUCUCUUUUACAGAAAGCUCAAUUCAUCACUGUGAGAACAGCAGUUCACUCCUUGCUUUUGGGGAAUGUGUGUAGUAAUCGGAAAGGACAAAAAGCAGCAUGUACCAAAAGAAACACUGUAAAUAUAUUUUGCAUGGUAUAAAUGAAUAUAGAGACAGUACAGCCAGCUGAAAUAAAAGCUUUUGGAGCAAAUGGAAAUGUGACCCCUCACCCCACUGGCAUAAAGCAAAAGAUAAUGGCUUGCAUAUCUAUGCAGAGCACCUUUCACUGUGUGGCUCUCAGAGCACUUUUAAUACCAUCUCUUUAAUACCACCAGUGAGUUUUUUCUUUCUAUCAGCCUCGGACACAGAAAGUGGUCUUCUCAUUCAAGAACAUGAUCCCUCUCCAGGGAAGGCAGUCAGCUUCCUUUUUGUGAGCAUUAACUCUUUGAAUGAGGUCGAAGGAGAAGCAGCCACAGGCUGAUGGCUCUGCCCAGCCUGUCAGGGCCUGGAAAGCUGCAGCCAGAGAGCACGUGGGCACAAACACACUGUACCCACAGCACACAUUUACCUGGCUCCUGGAUUUGCAAGGAGCUAACUCAAAGCAACCUUCAGUCUUUUGUCUCCAGCCAGUGGAGCUUAUGGCACGUCAGGCUGACAAGUUUAAACUGAGCAGUACCACUAAGUAAAUAUGAUUUUAUUCAGCCAGGACUCUUUAACAUGCUCUGUUUGUUGAACAUGGCAACAACUGUAAUAUUAUUAGAUAAAGCAAGACAGAUCUGGAUCUUCUUGUAAGCAAGAGUCUAUUGACUGUGUAAACUGAAGGAAAUAAAAAUUAAAAAAGAAGAAGAAAAAGAAAGGUUUAAACCAUACUGGUUCAAUCUAUUCAGCUAUUACAAUGGCUUAGACAAGCUGCAAAGCAUCAGAUGUGAAACUUCAGCAGCUUCAGUUUUAUUGCAACUGUCCAUCAUGUAGCAAAGCAUAAAGGAUAAAAUAGUGCUGGGCAAACUGUUUAUCCUCUGUAAAUGCCUUAACCAUAACCUAUUAAACCAGGUUUCUCCCCAUCUCACUCCUAUAUCAUGCUAUUUAAACCCUGUAAAUUGUUUCUCCAGUUUAAAUUAUAAUAAACAAAGGCAGGGAAGAAAGAAUGAACUGUUCUGUCAAGUUUUACCUAGUUUUACCAUAUUUUUAUAUAGAAUUGUGCUAGGCUAGGAACAGAAUAGAUAUGCUUCUUAGAGAAAGAAGAUCUCUAAGAGAAGUCUGAGAUCUGGACUGAGAAAUGGUGCUUUAUCAGCAUUAAAAAUACAACUGGUAAUACACAGAUUUUUCAUAAUCUAGGAAACCAUAAUGUGAUACAAGAUGACCACUUGUAUUUAAGUAACAUUUUAAAAGAAGUGUAGCAUAAUGAUUUUCAGAAAGUGACUGAUAGGUCAUCUUAUGUUCACCUCCCUAUCACACAACAGUCAUACUUGUUUCAUAUGUAUGCACAAUAUUUCUUUUCCUUAGUACUUUACAGUUCAAACUUUAGAUUCUUUUUUAUAACUAUGCAACAAAAUUACAUCGGUAACUUUCAAGAGCCAUUAAGAGAAUUUGCAUCAUCAGUACAAGAGAACUUUUGCAAAAUUAACAUUCUGAUUUAUGCUGUUGUGCUGUUCCCUAACUAGAACUUCCAAAAGCUGGCACUACUAGUGCUCCAUGGAGCACAACUUCAGGUUUUGCAUUAAUUAAACUGUACACAAUACAGAAAAACCAGUCACCUGCAGCAGUCCAAUGUCUGCAUCUGCCUGAUAUCCUAUGCAGGCAAAACAGCUCAGAUGGUGCUUUUGUGUGUCCAGGUUAUUUAUGGGCUACUCCCUAAUACAAUAGCUGUACAUCCUGCACAGAUGAGAUAGGCAGGGUGAAAAAGCUGCUCUCAGAGGAUGCACAGAAACAAGUCCCAGCUGCAUGGAUAAUGAGGUAAUGGCAUACCAGUAAGAGACAUUUAAUUAUAUCCAUUCUGGCAAGCCAUUUAUUUCUUUGCUGUGCUAAUGCUGAGCCAAUGAAGAAUAACAAUAUUAUCAUUUCUGAAUCCUAUCAUAAUUUGUAACAAUUGCUGGCAAUUACAAAACUACUCUUAAAAAGUUCGGUGCCAAACUGCAAGAGAGAUACUUUGCAGAGCCAUAUUUUCACAUGUUAAGUAGAGGGAGUUUAUCAGAGGAAGGAUUUUACAGGCUCAGAUGCUUGUCUAUAUAGCAGCCUAAUAAAAGAUGUUAAUCUCCACUUUUUGUUCAUUGAUUUUUAUAUUCAAACAUAGACUUUUCAUAAAGGAAAUGCAUUACAAGGCUUUGUUUUUUUAAUCUGAAAAUUAAUGCAGAAUUUAGUGAACUUUAUAUUGGGUGUCAUCUAAGUGUCACUCAUUUAACUGGAAUUAAUGAUGAUCCUCUAGGGUGGUGACUAAGACAAACAGCCAGUAGAUGGAGGGAGCACACUAGGACAGAAAGCAACCAAAGUCUGCAGAAUUUACUGAACUGAGACUCCAAUUAUGUAAGAGAUGAUUAGCUGGGACAAGAUGAAUAGGUUGUGUCACGGACUCCAUAACUGUCUAUUCCAUGGGAGGAUGUGGAUGCUUCUAAUCCACCCUGGCCUGAUUUUUUUCCACAGCCCUGACCCAACCCCCACCAAUGCUGAGAAUGGGCUUCUAGAGACUUGAUAAAUGCACACAGUGAGAAUUACAGGUCCUGGAAUAUAUUGUCUUUGUACCACAGCACCAGCUGAACGCACAAGAUUUACAAAGGCUAGCAAUUAGAAAUCAGUGCCUCAUGCAGUGUUAUGUGGCACCCUCUGUGAGAUCACGUAAAACCAGAUCCCAUUCCUUUCAUCCUUCUUAUGCCAAGACUUGGGCUUUGCUAACACAGAGUGAGCUACCAGCAAUAAUCAUACCCACUUAAUAUACACAGAGGUGAAAGGGGAUUAAGCACAGGCAGAGGGGACAGAAAUACACCACACACCUGAUUUUUCUCCACUCAAGCAUCAAGAGCAUUUAUACCAAACAAGACAAAUACUCUAAACCUCCAUUUCUAAAGGAUGUUAACCUGGGGUAGGUAUCACUUUGGAGUGCCUCCAGCUGGACCAAGGCUUGCGGUGGUGUUCUUUAUACCAAUCUUUGCUGACCACAAGGUAAUGUGGGAUCUUAGGUACAGUAAUAACUUAGAGAUGACCAGCAGAGCUGAAAACCCCCUCCUGAGCCAUCCACAGCUGAAGUGCAGUAAGACCCAUAAACCAUGUCCUGUAGAGUUACCUGCUACUCUUCCAAAGGUGGCAAACAGAAAUCUGGCAACUUCAACUGAGGAGUUUCCCAGAGCAGGGGAGCAGAGCCCACAGUACUUUGGAAUGUGCUUUUCUGUGUGAGCAGCCUGACUAUUUUUUUUCCUAGACUGGAGGAAGAGGAAAUGGUGAUGGUCCUGCACUACAGACAAUCUCAAAGGCUAAUAUCAGCCCCCAGAAAGGCCAAGGACUGCCUGAGCUAGCUGUGUGGGGAGUUCGCUUUAGAAAGAUAUUGGGGAAGGGCUUGGGAAGGAAGAACUACAAGAGGAGGACCCUGAGCUGCACAGGUGAUAUGAAAGACUGUAUCUGCUGGAAAUCUACAGGAUCACUUGUCAGAAGAUUACAUUUCUGAUGGCUUACAAUCUACAGCAUAAAAUUGUAAGUUUGGGGGUACCUUUAUGAUCCCUUGGCAUGUUGCAAGAGGUAGGCCAACUAAACUGGUACCAUUAAUGGACAUAAUCUGGUCUCCAAUGCUUAGUUUUCCUGAACGGGCUGCAGGGCCUCCAUUCAUCAUGUUAGCCAGGAUAACGGUGGGUAGAAUGGAUCCCCAUCCAGAUUCCACAAUCACUACCCCAAGAAUUUCUCCCUUCUGUUUUUCUAUCUGGAGCUGCAAUUAAAAAGAAAAAAAAAUUUUUUUUGCUUUGAUUUGUCUAAAUUUGAGCAUGACUAUCUCAGUUGUUCCUGAAUAACAUCUACAAAUCACAAAAUGGAUGCUAUUCUUUGUAGCAGGACUUCAAAAACACUGUUAAAACUGUGUAACACAAACCUAUUUCUUUUCAGGGUUAUACUAAUUUGUUGCAGGUCCUAUAGGUCCUUAUGGUAAGUAAAACACAUAUUGGUUAACUCUAUAGGAAAUGGUGGAACUGGAUACCAAGUGAAUGAAUGCUGAAGAAGUUUCUGUCCUUGGAACCUGGCAGGCUUGUGUUCAGCUCCACUCCUGCCAUUUCUGCUCAGGUUGUCUCUCCAUCUCAGGGUUUGUCUGUCCUUCUUCUCAGGCAAGGAUCUCUUGAUGAUUAUUAUUAACAUUAUUAUUAUUAUUAACGUUACUGAAUAUACUUGUGCCUAGCACGUUAAUGUUAGAUCCCUGAUGGAAUGGAAAGGAGGACUUCACCUGAAGUAUGGUGAUGUCAACUGUUCCAUAACCACAGCAUAUCUAACAUUUAUAGAAGUGGAGUAAGAGUUUCCAUAGAGAACACACUCUUUAACAAAAUACUGGGAAUUAUUUUCUUUCAAAUGUGGAAGGAGAGGGACACCCCUACUUACAGGAAUCAUGAUGACCAGCUGUCUUUUGUUGAGACUUGAUUAAGGCUUUGAACCAACCAGCAUCCCACAACACUGUUGUAUCUCUUUCCAUACCAAUACUUUGGUAAAACUUAAAAUAACCUUACACUGUGUACUGUGAAUAGUACAGACCUUAUCUACAUCACAUGUAAAUGCACUUUAUUACUGUUCUGAUCAAUGGAAAAAGAAAGGCCCUGAAAAUGAAAACACGAAAUUCUAAUAACUUAUAAAGCUGAUUUUAGUAGCAUAGUACUGAUGAAGCCACAUAUCUUGAAAUUUUACCGUCGUCCUUAUAAUGCCAAAUCAUAUUUCUGAGAACGACAUUCCUCUGGAAAAAAAUGGAUCAAUCUGAAAUGAAAUUCCAAAACUAGUUUACCUCUUUGCAGUUUUCUGAAUUGGAGAAGUGUAUGAGAUCAUCAUUGUACAUCUCCUGGGUAUUGAUGAUGUCACUGUAUUCUUUCUGACUGAGAUCCUCUGGGUUAAUUCCAUUGGCUCUUAAAAACUCUUGGUAAGCCACACUGAAAGCCUGCCCAAUGGACUGAGCAAUCAGCUGUGCCUGCAAUGGAGAACACGGCACAGCUCAGAGAAAGGGUGGAGAAACAGUUUACCACAAAAAUACGAGAAACCAGGAGAGAGACUGGAAUUUAAAACACUCAAAGGAUUCUGCAAAGUUUCUGCAUUAGCGUGGAUAUAAAGUCACUUUAAGGUCUGUUGUAUGUAAAGCAUCCAUUACAUCCAAAAUCAAAUUGCAAACUCCAUUUAAAACCCCUGCUGAUCUCCUUCAUGAGUAUGUUUCAGUAGCAAGCAGCCAUAUGCUGUCCAUGUACUCCUUCCAAUAAACACUGGCUUUGUACCAACAUGGAACAGAGCUCACGGAAAGGACUGUCACAAACCCUGCUUCUGAACACAGUCUGUUUGCAGGAGUGACGAGAGAAGGGAUGCUCUGCUCUCACAUGCCUUCACAGACCUGUGCACUGAUGAUUUUGGUUGUCGUGUCGCCUGCUGGUUUUGCACCUUGGUUUUAUAGGACUGAAAACACUGCUUGAAUAGAACCAUCUGCUCUCCUAUCACUGCCACUGUCUCCUAUUCCCAGCAAACCAGUUCCACUUCUACUUCCCCACUGCACAUCUAGAACAGCCAUUCCCAUUAACACCUCAACUGGCAAUGUCAGGGAUGAUUUCAAGAGUGCAGCCAGAGCCAUGAUUAUUGCUUGCUAAUGUUGAGAACACCUUUCCAAAAUACCCCAUCUUUCUUAAAUUUUGGAGCACUUAUCUGCAUAUUCCACUAGAUGGCAAGGGAACACAGAGCAACAGAGGUAGAGAUCAGGAAAAAGAAUCUGUAGUCCAGUUUUUCCACACCUGAAUUAUUUUUUACUGCAGCUCACAAGAGAAUGCCACAUUGAGUUUUGUAUAUUUGUGGGUUUUGCGUACUGAAUUCUGUCACCCAGGAUAUGAGUAACUCCUAGUGACAGGAGAAGAAGUUAAUUGCAUCUCACAGUGGAACUCCAUAAAAACAUUACUAAUCAAACCCUUAUUCUGGAAAUGCAACACACCUUCUUAGACAGAAGGUACAUGCUAAAUGCAUAGGGUUUUCUGGACAACAUUAUAAAUCUGUAUCUUCUUACAAUCUACUGAUUGGGUGUUUUCUUUGAUGCUAAAAGGUGGUUUUAUUAUUUCAUUUGUGCUGCAAUGCACAAAAGCACCAGUCUGUCUGACUGGAAAAUUAUUUUAGAAAAUCAAGGACAUAAAUAGCCUAGCCAGUCACAAAUGGUUUUUUCAUCUUUUAAAAUAUGUUUUAAAUUUUUCUCACUAUACCAAGAGGUUGGUGGUAAUAUGGUGGCACAGAAAUAAUCCAGAACAUUUUCAUAUCAUUCCAUUAGUAAAGUUUAUCACCAGUCCUUAUUGACUUCUUUCAAUCUCCAGUGCCAUUGCUUUCUCUGUACUUAGUCCUUUGCAUUUGCCUCCAUUCUACAUUCUCAAAACCAACAUCUCCAGAUGUCAUACUUUAUUCUGUUACUGCUACUAACAGCUAGUUCUCACAUCUUAAUUUCAUCUGUAUCUCCAAGGUCUUGUGGCUGUUUAUGAAAGUCUUCAGCAUUAUGCACAACUUAGAGAUAAGGUAAUUAAGUUGCUUGAAUAGGCCACCCCAGCAGAGCAGUGACAGAGCUGAGAUAACCAGGUCUCAGAACAACUCCAGUCUAGCACUCUAACCUUUAGACAAUUCCACUUCUCCUUCACAGGCUUAAUUACUUUAAAAUAAUGAAAAUGAUUGCUUAGCUCAAAAAUAUGCAACCUGUGAGUUAUGACUAUCUGAACCACAGAACUCAAUUAUUUUUAAAUGGUAUGACAGAAAUGAUAUUUAAAUCUGUUCCCAUAUAAUAACGAUGAGAAAUGUUUAGUAUUGCCUCUUAGUGUCAAGUUAGAUAACAAAUUUUGCUCUUUCCAUUUUACUAAGCUUAGUAUAUUUUUCCAAAAACAUUUCAGGUUGAAGUCCCCUGGUCUCCCACUUCAGACACAAGUAUCAACUUUGCUACAAAACCAAACCUGCAUAUAUAACAGCAGUAAAGCAGGGUCAUCUUUGCCACAAGAGGAAUGGGAUGGCACGUCAGGGCUUUUCACAGCGGUGAAACAGGAUGUACAGCAGAGAUGGACAGAACUCUUUUGCAACCACUACCUCUGCAAUCCUAUUUUGAGAAUGGCUCCAGGUUCUUUCACCUUUUAGUAUUUCUGAUGCAAAUGAAAAUUAGAACGUAAAUUCUGAAGUGGUCACUUCUUUCUUUGAACAGACUUUUAACAAAAAAGUGGGUUAGGGCUAAGACAGCAUUGGACCUCAGAGUAUCUUAUGGCAUAAAGUGACUGAAAUUAUGUUUGCUAUUGUAUAGAAGUACUAAGGGUAGUGAGAGUAAUGCCCAUGAAGAAAUAUUUCUAUAAAUACUGAGAACAAAACUAUCUCAGCUCUACCUUCCAGUACCUGAAGGGAGCUUACAGGAAAGAUGGAGAGAGACUUUUAACAAGGCAUGUAGUGACAAGGCAAACAGAGUAGGUUUAGAUUAUAUAUUAGGAAGAAAUUCUUUACUGUGAGGGUGGUGAGGCCCUGGCACAGGUUGCCCAGAGAAGCUGUGGUUGCCCCAUCCCUGGAAGUGUUCAAGGUCAGGUUGGAUAGAAUUCUGAGCAACCUGAUGUAGUGGAAAGAGUCCCCGCCUGUGGCAGGGAGAUUGGAACUAGACGAUCUUUAAGGUCCCUUCCGACCCAAGCCAUUCUAUGAUUCUAUGUAAAAAUUCUAAUUCAUAAUCUUUGCUAGGGGUGGAAAAAGAGAACUGAAAAAUAAACAGCUGAAUGUGUUCUUAAACAUCAAAGGAUCAAGUGUCAUGUUUAAGAGUAUGAUAUCAACUAGAGGUAAAUAAGCCAUAGGGAAUAAGGACAGGGUAAAGGACAGCCUUGUUCCAGGCCUGCCAAGUUAAUGUUCUCAGAAAUUUGGCUUCAGUUUGAAAGAGGUCCAAAAUGGUUCCACCUCAUGCCAAGAUUCUGGAGGCAUAUAUGUGUCUUUAUGUGCCAACCUGCUGGACUAAGGGCAGGGUCAUCUAAUCCAGGAUGAAUGAACAAUAUGACAUCCCAUAAAUUAAUUCUGACUUCAGAGAUUCUCUACAUGACAUAUGUUAUUUAAAUAAAUUUAAUUCCAUUUACUUACAUCCUCUGAUUCAAAGACAUGGCAAAUCAUCUUGUACUGCUUCUUUCCUUCCUGGGCCCCGGGAGUUGUUUCAAUGCAGUCCUGGGAAGCCGACCUUGGCAUGCGGCGCCGCGCCAUGAGCACCACGAUGUUGCCAAUGUCGGCGAUGUAGGAGAUGGUGCGCAGCGCGUGGUCCAUCAUCGUCUCCUGCCAGGAGAAAGAAAGGAGGUUUUCUCCUGUGCUACAAAUACUGCAUCUUCCCUCUCCUUGAUGGCCUGUUGCCUGAGAAUGACAAAAGCUCCAGAAGCAUUUUCUGUGGGCCCAGACCUGAUAUUCCCUACGCAGUCGGAUGGGUCCGAACUCCCCAUGGAAGGCACAGUGGCUGUUCACGGCUUCAAUGGAAGUGUUGCCCCAGGAAAUACAGUGUGGUUGUUACUGUAAAGCAAUAAUGAAGAACUAUACUACUAAAUAUUUUCAUGCUGUUGAAAAAUUCUGUUUCCCUUUUUUAUUGGUUUUGCUGAAUGAAACAGAUGCAUGUCACAAUGACAGAACAAGUUUUACAAAAAUUAUAGAUAUUAUUGCUAUUAUAGGAUAUGAUUUAAACACCCAGGACAUUAUAACAUCUCUUAUCUCUAAGGUAACAUUUUCUCAUAUAAAGCAAAGCAAUACUUCCUUUGUAAAGAGCUAUGAAGGCAGUAUUUCACCUUCUCUGUAGGCAGAACUCCUAACACUUUUUUUGGCUACCUACAUAUCUCAGACCAGCUUGGAGGAACUGCUAUAGUGUCUUGGCUUACAGUCAAAAUCCUAUUCCAGUCACUCUAAUUAUGCUGCCCAUUUGGUUGUGCUGGAAGAACUCAACUCAGAAGCCAUUGCCUGUGAGAAUGAUUUUAAGCGAAAACCUCUCUAAGCUUUAUCCUAAUGAACAUUGCUCAUGUAAGUACACCUAAAGAGUACUAAAUUUAAAACGCUCCUGUCUCAAAUCCCUGAGCUGUGCAUCUUUUUAAUUACUUUAGCCUUUUAAACUCUUAAUUUCUGCCAUUAGCAGGGAAAUCCCAACCUCCUACUUUCAAAUGUUUUUCUCCUGGGAAUAUACCAUUAUUCAGUGGCUUCGACUGAGUUGCCUUGGACAAUGAAAACUUGAGUGAGUAUCUGUAGUCAGAGAAAAACGUCACUAUUUUGUUCCAGCUAUUACUAUUUCAUCUUUUGUUUUUAUCUCCAGUUCAUGCUUCUAUCAAUGGUUUCUUAUAUAAAAGAGCAAUGGGGUCCCAGAAGGAGGAACCUUCAAGGACAUUUUAGAACAGUUUCUGUGCUCUACUAAGUAUAAACUUGUAGUAAGUUUUAUUAUUUCUGAACUCAGAAUUAAGUAUGAAUAAAUUAAUGUGGCUCAACAGCUAGCAUCUCAUUUUCAUUAAAAGGUUUCGAUAUGUAAAAUAAUGUUAUUUUAAUAAAACAAUGUAUGUGACACUGCUACAGCGAUCAUUUCAAAGGAUGUAUUUGAGACUCCAAAGAGAGAAUUAUAUACUUGUCUGCAUCAAUGUUUUAGACAUUUGUACCUUCAUAGAGGUUUUAUUUGAGAUACUGUAUAAACAACCUGAUUUCUCCUUUAGUUUUUUUAAAUAAAAAUAAAUAAAAAGGUACAACUUCUCUGUUUCCCGAAAGGUGUGCUGUUAUACAAGAUGUUUCAUAAUAUAAGAAACUUUUAGGCUUAAAAUGCUUAGAAAUGCUCAUGCAAUCAAGAUAUCUGAUUGACUGUGUUUCCAUUCAGUGCCUUGAACAAAAGCACUGUUACUGAAGUUUGUGUAUGAUUAUGGAAGAAGAAAAAUUUCUAGAGAAAAAGGUAUUCAACAGAAGAAGGGCAGCAGACAGGCACUGCAACAAACCAACAACAAAGAAAAUGAGUUCAUUUUACUCCAUUCACCAUUCUACUGCUUAACAAAGAAGAAACCAAAAUGACAGCUUUAUGAGGAUCCAUAAUGAAAGACGUAACACUCCAUGGAAAACAACAAAAAUGUAAGUAAACAUUAGCAUUCAAGAAAAACAGUUUACACACCGCUUUUUUCUUGAUUUUAGCCGCCUUUUGCAUCCUCUGAGGAGUAGCAUAAAAAAAGAAUGCAGACAGGUGUACACACAAGGAAAGAGAAAAGACAGUGUGGGAAGUCAGGGAAACCUUUUGACUAUGAAUCCAUGCUGUUGAAAAUUAAAAAACUGGGGGCAGUGGUUAGAAGAAUGUGCAAGAGAGAAAGAUUUGCUUAUACCUUAUGCACUUCUCAAGAUAAUUGGAUUUAAUGGUAUUAUGCAUGUUGUCAAUUGAUUACAAAAAAACUGGUACCAAAGUGUUGUCUAUUAACAGCUACUCCUCACGCUUAUCCUGCUAAAUUUACAGCAGUGGAAAAUGGCAGGACGUGCACUAUCGUAAAGCCAGGGUUUUCUAUCCAUAUUGAUCACAUGUCUACAUGUAACUGUUGAACAAAACAUAACUCAGGCUCUCUUCCACGACUAUCUAAAGUAGUCAAGUACCUCUGACAGAUCAAGUUUGGUAAUAACAUACAAAAAAGUUCUUAAGGAUUUAAUUGCAAUCAACAAGUACUUACUGUAGCUUGAGACAUCACAAUAUGCUAAACAGAAACUCAAAGGUUUGGAAAGUUUAAAGAACUGGACAUUUCCUGCAUUCCAUUUGCUUCAAUCAUCAAUCAUGACAUGUCUCUUGCUAAGUAAGUGGUUUUUUGAAACUGGUUUCCUUCAAAAACAUGCAAUUUUUAGCAAUUAAAUAUUUUAUUGACUAAGCACAUACUUUUUCUCUUAGCAUUUAAACCUGCCUCUUUCUAACCAUGUGUUUAUUCAGAUGAGGUAUUUACAGCAGAGUCACAAAAAAUUUUAAAAUAAAAAUAUCCUACUUGGAGUAUCAAUCAAAGAAAUACUUUCUUUACACAGCUGUAUGAAGCAGUCUAUGCUACAUUAGUUACAAAGGAAUUGUUCACUGUAAAUAAUAUCAAAUCCAAUCACAACAGUAAGGAAUGUUCUUGUUCUAAAAAAUAAAUAAUUCAAUAUAUUGAGAGCAAUCUUCUCAAUUUGUAGUAAGUUAAAGGAAUUAAUGACAUGUGACAUGAGUAAAACCACAGCCAAAACAAAUAUCCUGUGCUUUGCCACUGAAAUAUUUUCUAAUUGCAAUCCGCAACUUGUCUUUAACGACUGAAUUUGUCACACAGCUUCCAAAGAAUUUUGAAUAGACUCUGGAAUAGUCUAUAUUUUGCUCCUUAGAGAUGCUGUAUGUAUUUUUAUAACAAGCACUGGAAAGUAAUGGUAUUUACAGUACUAGAUCUAUACUCAUGUAUAGAUACAUACAGAGACUAGAGAGACAGAUUUAUACGCCCUUCGGGCGAGGUGUGAGCUGCAGACCUGCCCUGCUGGGGCUCAGCUGGGCCAGCUCAGGGGGUCUCCCCAGCAGAGCAGUCCCUACCUUCACUCAGCUGGGCCAGCUCAGGGGGUCUCCCCAGCAGAGCAGUCCCUACCUUCACUCAGCUGGGCCAGCUCAGGGGGUCUCUCCCCAGCAGAGCAGUCCCUACCUUCACUCAGCUGGGCCAGCUCAGGGGGUCUCUCCCCAGCAGAGCAGUCCCUACCUUCACUCAGCUGGGCCAGCUCAGGGGGUCUCUCCCCAGCAGAGCAGUCCCUACCUUCACUCAGCUGGGCCAGCUCAGGGGGUCUCUCCCCAGCAGAGCAGUCCCUACCU